UACGGGGGGGGUAAGCGUUGUUCGGAAUUACUGGGCGUAAAGGGCUCGUAGGUGGCCAACUAAGUCAGACGUGAAAUCCCUCGGCUUAACCGGGGAACUGCGUCUGAUACUGGAUGGCUUGAGUUUGGGAGAGGGACGCGGAAUUCCUGGUGUAGCGGUGAGAUGCGCAGAUAUCAGGAGGAACACCAAUGGCGAAGGCAGCACUCUGGGACGUGACUGACGCUGAGACGCGAAAGCGUGGGGAGCAAACAGG
RNAcentral lists this ribosomal RNA (253 nucleotides) under uncultured bacterium. RNAcentral's name for it is "partial 16S ribosomal RNA". It matches the Rfam family "Bacterial small subunit ribosomal RNA", at positions 524 to 776 of the family's 1533-position model. The record is from RNAcentral.